CUGUGAAUAUAAUUCAGGGCAGGGCCUUUUGAAUUCUCUGCCACCAGGGGCCUCAUAUUUCCAAAUAACAUUUCCCAAAAUCCUGUGUUCUCAGUCUCCUGCCCCAGCUCCAUUUCCUUAUGCCAACCAGCAAGCAGCCUUGGUUUCAAUUUAAAUACAAGCUUCUUUCACUUUGCAAAAGUUGCUUAAUACUUGUACUGAAAAUUAAUCUGACUCUGGGAGGCUUCCGAAUGUUACAGAACCUUAACGAAAAUUAUUGACUGUGUCCUCCCAUCAGCUUCACUCAGACCAAUCCCUGGCUGCCAUUCCCCCCGCCAGACAAUCCUGGCAUGAAUCCUAACUAGUCUCUUCUCUGGCCAAACGGGAAAGAGGUGAGAAGUUUGAAUAGCUUUCAGAACUGUAUAUCUUGUAUUUCUCGGUUUGUUAAUGCUUGUACAUCUUGAAGCAAAAUUGCUGUACUUGCAUCCCUUUUGACCAAAUUAAAAUAAACCACUGUGGCUUGCUAUCCACUUGGUAAAUUGGUUUCUUUGACCUGGUCUAUCUGGUUUCUAACAUAUGGGCUCGCCAGGCAUGAAUCCACUUUAGCUAGCAGUCCUAGUUAACCACAACAUGCUCAUGGCUUGAGGUGGAA
RNAcentral lists this long non-coding RNA (631 nucleotides) under Anolis carolinensis (green anole). RNAcentral describes it as "lncRNA (ENSACAG00000034300.2)". Lineage: Eukaryota; Metazoa; Chordata; Lepidosauria; Squamata; Anolidae. The record is from RNAcentral.